RNAcentral lists this ribosomal RNA (455 nucleotides) under Tepidiphilus sp. enrichment culture clone SEQ49_Clone10D_AER. Its description in RNAcentral is "bacterial SSU rRNA". It matches the Rfam family "Bacterial small subunit ribosomal RNA", at positions 514 to 966 of the family's 1533-position model. The record is from RNAcentral. Lineage: Bacteria; Pseudomonadati; Pseudomonadota; Hydrogenophilia; Hydrogenophilales; Hydrogenophilaceae.
GCCGCGUUAAUACGUAGGGUGCAAGCGUUAAUCGGAAUUACUGGGCGUAAAGGGUGCGCAGUCGGCCCUGUAAGACCGGUGUGAAAUCCCCGGGCUCAACCUGGGAAUUGCGCUGGUGACUGCAGGGCUAGAGUACGGUAGAGGGGGGUGGAAUUCCUGGUGUAGCAGUGAAAUGCGUAGAGAUCAGGAGGAACACCGAUGGCGAAGGCAGCCCCCUGGGCCUGUACUGACGCUCAUGCACGAAAGCGUGGGGAGCAAACAGGAUUAGAUACCCUGGUAGUCCACGCCCUAAACGAUGAGAACUAGCCGUCUGGAGUCUUCGUGCUCUGGGUGGCGCAGCUAACGCGUGAAGUUCUCCGCCUGGGGAGUACGGCCGCAAGGUUAAAACUCAAAGGAAUUGACGGGGACCCGCACAAGCGGUGGAUGAUGUGGAUUAAUUCGAUGCAACUGCGAAG